This 443-nucleotide ribosomal RNA is filed under the name uncultured bacterium. Its description in RNAcentral is "partial 16S ribosomal RNA". It matches the Rfam family "Bacterial small subunit ribosomal RNA", at positions 338 to 795 of the family's 1533-position model. The record is from RNAcentral.
CCUACGGGAGGCAGCAGUGGGGAAUAUUGGGCAAUGGGCGCAAGCCUGACCCAGCAACGCCGCGUGAAGGAAGAAGGUUUUCGGGUUGUAAACUUCUUUUCUCAGGGACGCAGAAAGUGACGGUACCUGAGGAAUAAGCAACGGCUAACUACGUGCCAGCAGCCGCGGUAAUACGUAGUUGGCAAGCGGUAUCCGGAUUUACUGGGUGUAAAGGGCGUGUAGGCGGGACUGCAAGUCAGAGGUGAAAACCACGGGCUCAACCUGUGGCCUGCAUUUGAAACUGUAGUUCUUGAGUACUGGAGAGGCAUACGGAAUGCCUGGUGUAGCGGUGAAAUGCGUAGAUAUUAGGAGGAACACCAGUGGCGAAGGCGGUCUGCUGGACAGCAACUGACGCUGAGGCGCGAAAGCGUGGGGAGCAAACAGGAUUAGAUACCCUUGUAGUC